GUAAAAGCAUUCAUCAAUUCCAUACCUUUUAAUCAAGAACGAAAGUUGGGGGAUCGAAAGUGAUUAGAUACCACUGUAGUCUCAACCAUAAACGAUGUCAACUAUGGAUUCGUUUUGAUCAUAUUUGAGGCUUCCGAGCUUCAAUUUCGACGAAAUGAGAACAUUGUGAGAAAUCGAAGUUUUUAGACUCU
Molecule: ribosomal RNA, 191 nt
Filed under: uncultured Cercozoa
Lineage: Eukaryota; Cercozoa
Description: partial 18S ribosomal RNA
Rfam family: Eukaryotic small subunit ribosomal RNA
Source: RNAcentral